This 70-nucleotide transfer RNA is filed under the name Salix viminalis (osier). It matches the Rfam family "tRNA". Rfam says of the family: Transfer RNA (tRNA) molecules are approximately 80 nucleotides in length. Their secondary structure includes four short double-helical elements and three loops (D, anti-codon, and T loops). The record is from RNAcentral. Lineage: Eukaryota; Viridiplantae; Streptophyta; Magnoliopsida; Malpighiales; Salicaceae.
GGCCCUUUAACUCAGUGGUAGAGUAACGCCAUGUAAGGCGUAAGUCAUCGUUCAAAUCCGAUAAGGGCUU